Molecule: non-coding RNA, 300 nt
Organism: Pelobates cultripes (western spadefoot toad)
Lineage: Eukaryota; Metazoa; Chordata; Amphibia; Anura; Pelobatidae
Source: the annotation of a GenBank genome assembly
CCAGGCUUAAUGCUAAAAGCCUUGCAGAGAUACAAUAAAUAGGGGAAGAUUACACUCAAUGAUUGGACACAAAGUGCAAUUAUCAGACAAGAAGAACUGUAGCAAGGAAGCCUUGUGUAGCUGUGAUGUAAUCCAAUAUAUAUUUGCUGAUCCACACAAUAAGUUACACACUGUAGGUAUUUCUUAAUUUAGAACAAAAUUCACAUUAUGACUAAAUGAAUCCUAAAACAUAAGCCAGGAUCGAUCUGUGUCAGAAUGUUGGACAGGGAUCAGCCUGAUGGCUCUGAUGAGCAAUUCUAG